GGUUAAGCGACUAAGCGUACACGGUGGAUGCCCUGGCAGUCAGAGGCGAUGAAGGACGUGCUAAUCUGCGAUAAGCGUCGGUAAGGUGAUAUGAACCGUUAUAACCGGCGAUUUCCGAAUGGGGAAACCCAGUGUGUUUCGACACACUAUCAUUAACUGAAUCCAUAGGUUAAUGAGGCGAACCGGGGGAACUGAAACAUCUAAGUACCCCGAGGAAAAGAAAUCAACCGAGAUUCCCCCAGUAGCGGCGAGCGAACGGGGAGCAGCCCAGAGCCUGAAUCAGUGUGUGUGUUAGUGGAAGCGUCUGGAAAGGCGCGCGAUACAGGGUGACAGCCCCGUACACAAAAAUGCACAUGCUGUGAGCUCGAUGAGUAGGGCGGGACACGUGGUAUCCUGUCUGAAUAUGGGGGGACCAUCCUCCAAGGCUAAAUACUCCUGACUGACCGAUAGUGAACCAGUACCGUGAGGGAAAGGCGAAAAGAACCCCGGCGAGGGGAGUGAAAAAGAACCUGAAACCGUGUACGUACAAGCAGUGGGAGCACGCUUAGGCGUGUGACUGCGUACCUUUUGUAUAAUGGGUCAGCGACUUAUAUUCUGUAGCAAGGUUAACCGAAUAGGGGAGCCGAAGGGAAACCGAGUCUUAACUGGGCGUUAAGUUGCAGGGUAUAGACCCGAAACCCGGUGAUCUAGCCAUGGGCAGGUUGAAGGUUGGGUAACACUAACUGGAGGACCGAACCGACUAAUGUUGAAAAAUUAGCGGAUGACUUGUGGCUGGGGGUGAAAGGCCAAUCAAACCGGGAGAUAGCUGGUUCUCCCCGAAAGCUAUUUAGGUAGCGCCUCGUGAACUCAUCUCCGGGGGUAGAGCACUGUUUCGGCAAGGGGGUCAUCCCGACUUACCAACCCGAUGCAAACUGCGAAUACCGGAGAAUGUUAUCACGGGAGACACACGGCGGGUGCUAACGUCCGUCGUGAAGAGGGAAACAACCCAGACCGCCAGCUAAGGUCCCAAAGUCAUGGUUAAGUGGGAAACGAUGUGGGAAGGCCCAGACAGCCAGGAUGUUGGCUUAGAAGCAGCCAUCAUUUAAAGAAAGCGUAAUAGCUCACUGGUCGAGUCGGCCUGCGCGGAAGAUGUAACGGGGCUAAACCAUGCACCGAAGCUGCGGCAGCGACACUAUGUGUUGUUGGGUAGGGGAGCGUUCUGUAAGCCUGUGAAGGUGUGCUGUGAGGCAUGCUGGAGGUAUCAGAAGUGCGAAUGCUGACAUAAGUAACGAUAAAGCGGGUGAAAAGCCCGCUCGCCGGAAGACCAAGGGUUCCUGUCCAACGUUAAUCGGGGCAGGGUGAGUCGACCCCUAAGGCGAGGCCGAAAGGCGUAGUCGAUGGGAAACAGGUUAAUAUUCCUGUACUUGGUGUUACUGCGAAGGGGGGACGGAGAAGGCUAUGUUGGCCGGGCGACGGUUGUCCCGGUUUAAGCGUGUAGGCUGGUUUUCCAGGCAAAUCCGGAAAAUCAAGGCUGAGGCGUGAUGACGAGGCACUACGGUGCUGAAGCAACAAAUGCCCUGCUUCCAGGAAAAGCCUCUAAGCAUCAGGUAACAUCAAAUCGUACCCCAAACCGACACAGGUGGUCAGGUAGAGAAUACCAAGGCGCUUGAGAGAACUCGGGUGAAGGAACUAGGCAAAAUGGUGCCGUAACUUCGGGAGAAGGCACGCUGAUAUGUAGGUGAAGCGACUUGCUCGUGGAGCUGAAAUCAGUCGAAGAUACCAGCUGGCUGCAACUGUUUAUUAAAAACACAGCACUGUGCAAACACGAAAGUGGACGUAUACGGUGUGACGCCUGCCCGGUGCCGGAAGGUUAAUUGAUGGGGUUAGCGGUAACGCGAAGCUCUUGAUCGAAGCCCCGGUAAACGGCGGCCGUAACUAUAACGGUCCUAAGGUAGCGAAAUUCCUUGUCGGGUAAGUUCCGACCUGCACGAAUGGCGUAAUGAUGGCCAGGCUGUCUCCACCCGAGACUCAGUGAAAUUGAACUCGCUGUGAAGAUGCAGUGUACCCGCGGCAAGACGGAAAGACCCCGUGAACCUUUACUAUAGCUUGACACUGAACAUUGAGCCUUGAUGUGUAGGAUAGGUGGGAGGCUUUGAAGUGUGGACGCCAGUCUGCAUGGAGCCGACCUUGAAAUACCACCCUUUAAUGUUUGAUGUUCUAACGUUGACCCGUAAUCCGGGUUGCGGACAGUGUCUGGUGGGUAGUUUGACUGGGGCGGUCUCCUCCUAAAGAGUAACGGAGGAGCACGAAGGUUGGCUAAUCCUGGUCGGACAUCAGGAGGUUAGUGCAAUGGCAUAAGCCAGCUUGACUGCGAGCGUGACGGCGCGAGCAGGUGCGAAAGCAGGUCAUAGUGAUCCGGUGGUUCUGAAUGGAAGGGCCAUCGCUCAACGGAUAAAAGGUACUCCGGGGAUAACAGGCUGAUACCGCCCAAGAGUUCAUAUCGACGGCGGUGUUUGGCACCUCGAUGUCGGCUCAUCACAUCCUGGGGCUGAAGUAGGUCCCAAGGGUAUGGCUGUUCGCCAUUUAAAGUGGUACGCGAGCUGGGUUUAGAACGUCGUGAGACAGUUCGGUCCCUAUCUGCCGUGGGCGCUGGAGAACUGAGGGGGGCUGCUCCUAGUACGAGAGGACCGGAGUGGACGCAUCACUGGUGUUCGGGUUGUCAUGCCAAUGGCACUGCCCGGUAGCUAAAUGCGGAAGAGAUAAGUGCUGAAAGCAUCUAAGCACGAAACUUGCCCCGAGAUGAGUUCUCCCUGAC
Molecule: ribosomal RNA, 2794 nt
Filed under: Escherichia coli
Lineage: Bacteria; Pseudomonadati; Pseudomonadota; Gammaproteobacteria; Enterobacterales; Enterobacteriaceae
Description: partial 23S ribosomal RNA
Rfam family: Bacterial large subunit ribosomal RNA
Source: RNAcentral